Pelobates cultripes (western spadefoot toad) is the source of this 310-nucleotide non-coding RNA. The record is from the annotation of a GenBank genome assembly. NCBI's taxonomy places the organism in Eukaryota, Metazoa, Chordata, Amphibia, Anura, Pelobatidae.
UUUUGACUGAGUGGAGUCUGCCUAGCCAUGAGAUGGGUUUGUCUGUCCACUGCUCCAGGUCCCUCAGGAGUGUGCGAAUCAGUGGGGAGUAGUUAGUCUCGUGUAGGUGUUCGUGUUGCGCCGUGAGUCUAACCCCUAGGAAGGGUAUGUUGUCAGUAGUGAUGGGUAGGCGAUAUCUUUCAGAUAUUUGUGCUCUAUCCUGGGCCGGGAGGUGAAAUGGCAGUGCCAUGGAUUUGUUGAGGUUUACUUUAUAGCCCGAUAGGGCUCCAUAUGUGACCAACAGGUCCGUCAUGUGGCCCAUGGAGGUCAG